GCCAGAAACUGGGAAAAGGGACGCGCCCGUUCCUGCGUACUGAACGCGUGUCCGUGUCGGAUACAUAUCCGACAUGGACACGCCGGCCAUUUUGCCGUGUCCGUGCUUCUCAGGUUUGAGGCCUUCGUUCAGGACCAAACAAGGGAAAAACCUUCGAGGCAUAAGAUAUUUUAUUCCUACUGUAGUGCCUCGGUUCACUUUUUGAAUUAUGUGUAAUUAGCUUGAUAAUGCCAAUUAGAAACAUUAUUUUGAUUACUUGCACCACUGCAUACCAUUGUUGUUGUCUUGUAUUUUGUGCCCUAAGUUAUGUUAUUGGGACGUAAAUGUCUGAACAAGACCCAAACACUAGUGCAAGUAUAUUGUUAAUUAUUUUGAUGAUUGUAUAUGAUUAUUUUGUAGAUUUUAUGUUGA
This is a long non-coding RNA of Prosopis cineraria, 411 nucleotides long. RefSeq lists it as uncharacterized. Lineage: Eukaryota; Viridiplantae; Streptophyta; Magnoliopsida; Fabales; Fabaceae. The record is from RefSeq and is a predicted model, not a curated record. The transcript is spliced from 2 exons.